UGCGGAGGGAUCAUUACUGAGUUAGGGAGCAAUCCCGACCUCCAACCCUUUGUGAACGCAUCAUGUUGCUUCGGGGGCGACCCUGCCGUUCGCGGCAUUCCCCCCGGAGGUCAUCAAAACACUGCAUUCUUACGUCGGAGUAAAAAGUUAAUUUAAUAAAACUUUCAACAACGGAUCUCUUGGUUCUGGCAUCGAUGAAGAACGCAGCGAAAUGCGAUAAGUAAUGUGAAUUGCAGAAUUCAGUGAAUCAUCGAAUCUUUGAACGCACAUUGCGCCCCCUGGUAUUCCGGGGGGCAUGCCUGUUCGAGCGUCAUUUCACCACUCAAGCCUCGCUUGGUAUUGGGCGUCGCGAGUCUCUCGCGUGCCUCAAAGUCUCCGGCUGUCUUGAUUCAAUUCCCAGCGUUGUGGCAACUAUUUCGCAGUGGAAACGAGUCAAAGUGGCCGUUAAAUCUUUCAAAGGUUGACCUCGGAUCAGGUAGGGAUACCCGCUGAACUUAAGCAUAUCAAUAAGGCGGGAGGAA
RNAcentral lists this ribosomal RNA (521 nucleotides) under fungal sp. NLR-2013. RNAcentral's name for it is "eukaryotic LSU rRNA". The stretch from base 160 to 313 matches the Rfam family "5.8S ribosomal RNA". The record is from RNAcentral. Lineage: Eukaryota; Fungi.